AGGCGCCUGUAAUCCCAGCUACUUGGGAAGCUGAGGCAGGAGAAUCGCUUGAACCUGGAAGGCGUAGGUUGUGGUGAGCCGAGAUCGCGCCCUUGCACUCCAGCCUGGGCAACAGAGCGAGACUCUGUCUCAAAAAAAAAAAGAAGAAGAAGAAGAAGAAAUUGACUUCUCACAGUUCUGGAGGCUGGAAAGUCCAGGAUCAAGGUGCCCACAGAUUUGGCGUCUGAAUCCUCCUGACCAGAGCAGCAGAGAGCGGAUCUGUUUGCAGCCUGCCUGUCCCCGCCCUGCCCUCACCUCGCCCUCUUUGACCUUGAGACGGAUUCCUCGAGCCAACGUCUCUUUCCUGGAGCUGGAUGGGGACAAACCCGGGGUCCCUCCCUCUCUUAGGAGUUGAACCACAGUGACCAGGAGCCCAAGAGCGCCGAAGCCCUGUAGUUGCUAUGGAGAUGGGAGCGGGUUUGCAGAGGGAGCUGUGUGAUUAGGUGGCAUUUGCGUCUGUAGAAGGAGGCAACGCAACACCCUCGCCACCCCUGAGAGGUGCUUAUACCUUGGACACUCUUAUGAGAGCUUCCCAGAAAAGCCAGGCUCACAGGGGCAGGAACGGAGAUUCCUCCACACACCUCCACCCUGUCCCUGCCACCAAACACCCAGGUACCCAGGCAAACCGUGGCCAGGGGACAGGUGCCAUCAUGACAUGGGUGAGCUGCCUGCCUGGAGGUUCUCCAAGUCCCUCCUGCUGCCCACCUGUCCAAGCCCCAGAGUGUCCCUAAAUGCCCAGGGAACGCUCAGGGUCCUUUCCAGGGGGCAGUGGCCUAAGAGGCUCAUUCUCCAGCAACCCUCUGCGCCGGGCUGGGUGGUCCCAUUGCCCUGUCUCCAGCCCUCACAACUGUGCAAGCCAAGUAUCAGCCCCAUUUCACAGACGGAGAAGCUGAAGCUCAGAAGGGUCAGCAACCUGUCAGGGCCGGAAUCUGAACCCAGGUCUGCCCGACUCCCAUUUAUGUGCUCUUUCCCUCACACGACCCAGCCCAGCCCAGCUCCAGCCUGGCCCCCUCAGCCUACCCUGGGCUUCCAGCCAGUGACCUUCCCAAAGCACAGAGCUGAGGCUUAGAGAGAGAUGUGGCUGGACAUGCAGAGAGUGAAGCCCUGUGGCCCACAGCUGGAGGUGGGACCCUGCCUGCCACCUCAAGGGGGCUGUGUGUUCUGGGUUGUGUGCUCAAGGCUCUCCCUUGCUUCUCCCCACUACUCCACGAGCUGGCCUUUCUGCUUGAAAAGAGACCCCCAGCCUGGAGCGGGCUCAUGCCUGUAAUCCCAGCACUUUGGGAGGACAAGACAGGCAGAUUACUUGAGGUCAGGAGUUCAAGACCAGCCUGGCCCACAUGGUGAAACCCGGUCUCUACUAAAGAUACAAAAAUUAGCUGGACGUGGUGGCACACGCAGGUAGUCCCAGCUACUCGGGAGGCUAUGGCAGGAGAAUCCCUUAAACCUGGGAGGCGGAGGUCGUAGUGAGCCAAGAUCGUACCAUUGCACUCUAGCCUGGGUGACAGAGCGAGACUCUGUCUCAAAAAAACCAAAAAACAAAAAAGCGGAGGUUAGGCACAGUGGUUUGUGCCUGUAAUCUCAGCACUUUGGGAGGUGGAGGCGGGCGGAUCACAUGAGGUCAGGAGUUUGAGACCAGCCUGGCCAACGUGGAGAAACCCCAUUUCUACUAAAAAUACAAAAAAUUAGGCCGGGCGCGGUAGCCCUCACACCUAAUCCCAGGUGUGAGGUGGGCGGAUCACGGGGUCAGGAGAUCGAGACCAUCCUGGCUAAUAUGGUGAAACCCCGGCCGGGCGCGGUGGCUCACGCCUGUAAUCCCAGCACUUUGGGAGGCCGAGGCGGGUGGUUCACGAGGUCAGGAGAUCGAGACCAUCCCGGCUAAAACGGUGAAACCCCAUCUCUACUAAAAAUACAAAAAAUUAGCCGGGCGUAGUGGCGGGCGCCUGUAGUCCCAGCUACUUGGGAGGCUGAGGCAAGAGAAUGGCGUGAACCCGGGAGGCGGAGC
Molecule: long non-coding RNA, 2041 nt
Filed under: Homo sapiens (human)
Lineage: Eukaryota; Metazoa; Chordata; Mammalia; Primates; Hominidae
Source: RNAcentral